GGGUUGUGAGGUUAAGCGACUAAGCGUACACGGUGGAUGCCCUGGCAGUCAGAGGCGAUGAAGGACGUGCUAAUCUGCGAAAAGCGCCGGCGAGGUGAUAUGAACCUUUGACCCGGCGAUGUCCGAAUGGGGAAACCCAGUGCAAUUCGUUGCACUAUCGUUAACUGAAUACAUAGGUUAACGAGGCGAACCGGGGGAACUGAAACAUCUAAGUACCCCGAGGAAAAGAAAUCAACCGAGAUUCCCCCAGUAGCGGCGAGCGAACGGGGAGCAGCCCAGAGUCUGAAUCAGCUUGUGUGUUAGUGGAAGCGUCUGGAAAGUCGCACGGUACAGGGUGACAGUCCCGUACACGAAAGCACACAGGCUGUGAACUCGAAGAGUAGGGCGGGACACGUGGUAUCCUGUCUGAAUAUGGGGGGACCAUCCUCCAAGGCUAAAUACUCCUGACUGACCGAUAGUGAACCAGUACCGUGAGGGAAAGGCGAAAAGAACCCCGGCGAGGGGAGUGAAAAAGAACCUGAAACCGUGUACGUACAAGCAGUGGGAGCACCUUCGUGGUGUGACUGCGUACCUUUUGUAUAAUGGGUCAGCGACUUAUAUUCUGUAGCAAGGUUAACCGUAUAGGGGAGCCGAAGGGAAACCGAGUCUUAACUGGGCGUUAAGUUGCAGGGUAUAGACCCGAAACCCGGUGAUCUAGCCAUGGGCAGGUUGAAGGUUGGGUAACACUAACUGGAGGACCGAACCGACUAAUGUUGAAAAAUUAGCGGAUGACUUGUGGCUGGGGGUGAAAGGCCAAUCAAACCGGGAGAUAGCUGGUUCUCCCCGAAAGCUAUUUAGGUAGCGCCUCGUGAACUCAUCUUCGGGGGUAGAGCACUGUUUCGGCUAGGGGGCCAUCCCGGCUUACCAACCCGAUGCAAACUACGAAUACCGAAGAAUGUUAUCACGGGAGACACACGGCGGGUGCUAACGUCCGUCGUGAAGAGGGAAACAACCCAGACCGCCAGCUAAGGUCCCAAAGUCAUGGUUAAGUGGGAAACGAUGUGGGAAGGCACAGACAGCCAGGAUGUUGGCUUAGAAGCAGCCAUCAUUUAAAGAAAGCGUAAUAGCUCACUGGUCGAGUCGGCCUGCGCGGAAGAUGUAACGGGGCUAAACCAUGCACCGAAGCUGCGGCAGCGACGCGUAUGCGUUGUUGGGUAGGGGAGCGUUCUGUAAGCCGUUGAAGGUGUGCUGUGAGGCAUGCUGGAGGUAUCAGAAGUGCGAAUGCUGACAUAAGUAACGAUAAAGCGGGUGAAAAGCCCGCUCGCCGGAAGACCAAGGGUUCCUGUCCAACGUUAAUCGGGGCAGGGUGAGUCGACCCCUAAGGCGAGGCCGAAAGGCGUAGUCGAUGGGAAACAGGUUAAUAUUCCUGUACUUGGUGUUACUGCGAAGGGGGGACGGAGAAGGCUAUGUUAGCCGGGCGACGGUUGUCCCGGUUUAAGCAUGUAGGCGGAGGUUCCAGGUAAAUCCGGUACCUUUUAAACGCUGCGGNNNNNNNNNNNNNNNNNNNNNNNNNNNNNNNNNNNNNNNNNNNNNNNNNNNNNNNNNNNNNNNNNNNNNNNNNNNNNNNNNNNNNACCUUUUUAACGCUGAGGUGUGAUGACGAGGCACUACGGUGCUGAAGUAACAAAUGCCCUGCUUCCAGGAAAAGCCUCUAAGCAUCAGGUAACACGAAAUCGUACCCCAAACCGACACAGGUGGUCAGGUAGAGAAUACCAAGGCGCUUGAGAGAACUCGGGUGAAGGAACUAGGCAAAAUGGUGCCGUAACUUCGGGAGAAGGCACGCUGAUAUGUAGGUGAAGCCCCUGCGGGUGGAGCUGAAAUCAGUCGAAGAUACCAGCUGGCUGCAACUGUUUAUUAAAAACACAGCACUGUGCAAACACGAAAGUGGACGUAUACGGUGUGACGCCUGCCCGGUGCCGGAAGGUUAAUUGAUGGGGUUAGCGGCAACGCGAAGCUCUUGAUCGAAGCCCCGGUAAACGGCGGCCGUAACUAUAACGGUCCUAAGGUAGCGAAAUUCCUUGUCGGGUAAGUUCCGACCUGCACGAAUGGCGUAAUGAUGGCCAGGCUGUCUCCACCCGAGACUCAGUGAAAUUGAACUCGCUGUGAAGAUGCAGUGUACCCGCGGCAAGACGGAAAGACCCCGUGAACCUUUACUAUAGCUUGACACUGAACACUGGUCCUUGAUGUGUAGGAUAGGUGGGAGGCUUUGAAGCGUGGACGCCAGUCUGCGUGGAGCCGUCCUUGAAAUACCACCCUUUAAUGGCUGGUGUUCUAACGUAGACCCGUAAUCCGGGUUGCGGACAGUGUCUGGUGGGUAGUUUGACUGGGGCGGUCUCCUCCCAAAGAGUAACGGAGGAGCACGAAGGUUAGCUAAUCCUGGUCGGACAUCAGGAGGUUAGUGCAAUGGCAUAAGCUAGCUUGACUGCGAGAGUGACGGCUCGAGCAGGUGCGAAAGCAGGUCAUAGUGAUCCGGUGGUUCUGAAUGGAAGGGCCAUCGCUCAACGGAUAAAAGGUACUCCGGGGAUAACAGGCUGAUACCGCCCAAGAGUUCAUAUCGACGGCGGUGUUUGGCACCUCGAUGUCGGCUCAUCACAUCCUGGGGCUGAAGUAGGUCCCAAGGGUAUGGCUGUUCGCCAUUUAAAGUGGUACGCGAGCUGGGUUUAGAACGUCGUGAGACAGUUCGGUCCCUAUCUGCCGUGGGCGCUGGAGAAUUGAGGGGGGCUGCUCCUAGUACGAGAGGACCGGAGUGGACGCAUCACUGGUGUUCGGGUUGUCAUGCCAAUGGCACUGCCCGGUAGCUAAAUGCGGAAAAGAUAAGUGCUGAAAGCAUCUAAGCACGAAACUUGCCCCGAGAUGAGUUCUCCCUGACCCUUUAAGGGUCCUGAAGGAACGUUGAAGACGACGACGUUGAUAGGUCGGGUGUGUAAGCGCAGCGAUGCGUUGAGCUAACCGAUACUAAUGAACCGUGAGGCUUAACCUUACAACGCCGAAGCUGUU
Molecule: ribosomal RNA, 3035 nt
Filed under: Enterobacter asburiae
Lineage: Bacteria; Pseudomonadati; Pseudomonadota; Gammaproteobacteria; Enterobacterales; Enterobacteriaceae
Description: 23S ribosomal RNA
Rfam family: Bacterial large subunit ribosomal RNA
Source: RNAcentral